GAGUUUGAUCCUGGCUCAGGAUGAACGCUGGCGGCGUGCUUAACACAUGCAAGUCGAACGAAGCACCUUGAUUUGAUUCUUCGGAUGAAGAUCUUGGUGACUGAGUGGCGGACGGGUGAGUAACGCGUGGGCAACCUGCCUCAUACAGGGGGAUAACAGUUAGAAAUGACUGCUAAUACCGCAUAAGACCACAGCACCGCAUGGUGCAGGGGUAAAACUCCGGUGGUAUGAGAUGGACCCCGCGUCUGAUUAGGUAGUUGGUGGGGUAACGGCCUACCAAGCCGACGAUCAGUAGCCGACCUGAGAGGGUGACCGGCCACAUUGGGACUGAGACACGGCCCAAACUCCUACGGGAGGCCAGCAGUGGGAAUAUUGCACAAUGGGGGAAACCCUGACUGCAGCGACGCCGCGUGAGCGAUGAAGU
RNAcentral lists this ribosomal RNA (424 nucleotides) under uncultured bacterium. RNAcentral describes it as "bacterial SSU rRNA". It matches the Rfam family "Bacterial small subunit ribosomal RNA", at positions 9 to 414 of the family's 1533-position model. The record is from RNAcentral.